AGAAAACUAAAAUGUAAAGUAUCAGACAGAAAAAAAGUCAGAAGGCAGGUGGGUGGGAAGGAUGGAAGGAAGGAAGGAGAAAGAAGGAAGGAGAAAGGAAGGAAGGAGAAGGGAAGGAAGGAGUAAUGACAAGUCCCUGGCUUCUUCUAGCUGAAUGAAAAACAUCCUCCAGAGAACUCCUACUAUCCACAGGUCAAUGUUCACACAGGUCACUUAAUCAGGAAUUUCUAGAAUGAACUGGCAAGCCCUGUUUUACCCUGCCUCCAUUCAGCUGACCUCAUCUAGACUCCUGGUCGUGAUUUAUAUAGCUUUCUUCCACUGUUUUCCACUCUUCCAAAUGGUUUUUUUUUCCCUCUUAAGCUGCCAACAUCC
Molecule: long non-coding RNA, 372 nt
Organism: Ahaetulla prasina
Lineage: Eukaryota; Metazoa; Chordata; Lepidosauria; Squamata; Colubridae
Exons: 3
Source: RefSeq, a predicted model, not a curated record